RNAcentral lists this ribosomal RNA (433 nucleotides) under uncultured bacterium. Its description in RNAcentral is "partial 16S ribosomal RNA". It matches the Rfam family "Bacterial small subunit ribosomal RNA", at positions 29 to 507 of the family's 1533-position model. The record is from RNAcentral.
AACGAACGCUGGCGGCAUGCCUAACACAUGCAAGUCGAACGAGACCUUCGGGUCUAGUGGCGCACGGGUGCGUAACGCGUGGGAACCUGCCCUUAGGUUCGGAAUAACUCCCCGAAAGGGGUGCUAAUACCAGAUAAUGUCUUCGGACCAAAGAUUUAUCGCCUUUGGAUGGGCCCGCGUUGGAUUAGCUAGUUGGUAGGGUAAAAGCCUACCAAGGCGACGAUCCAUAGCUGGUCUGAGAGGACGAUCAGCCACACUGGGACUGAGACACGGCCCAGACUCCUACGGGAGGCAGCAGUGGGGAAUAUUGGACAAUGGGCGAAAGCCUGAUCCAGCAAUGCCGCGUGAGUGAUGAAGGCCUUAGGGUUGUAAAGCUCUUUUACCCGGGAUGAUAAUGACAGUACCGGGAGAAUAAGCUCCGGCUAACUCCGUG